RNAcentral lists this ribosomal RNA (627 nucleotides) under Lactarius sp. GAL15231. Its description in RNAcentral is "LSU rRNA". It matches the Rfam family "Eukaryotic large subunit ribosomal RNA", at positions 47 to 649 of the family's 3401-position model. Lineage: Eukaryota; Fungi; Basidiomycota; Agaricomycetes; Russulales; Russulaceae. The record is from RNAcentral.
UAAGCGGAGGAAAAGAAACUAACAAGGAUUCCCCUAGUAACUGCGAGUGAAGCGGGAAAAGCUCAAAUUUAAAAUCUGGCGGUCUUUGGCUGUCCGAGUUGUAAUUUAGAGAAGCGUCUUCCGCGCCGGACCGUGCACAAGUCUCCUGGAAUGGAGCGUCAUAGAGGGUGAGAAUCCCGUCUUUGGCACGGAUGCCCGGUGCUUCUGUGAUGCGCUCUCGAAGAGUCGAGUUGUUUGGGAAUGCAGCUCAAAAUGGGUGGUGAACUCCAUCUAAAGCUAAAUAUUGGCGAGAGACCGAUAGCGAACAAGUACCGUGAGGGAAAGAUGAAAAGCACUUUGGAAAGAGAGUGAAACAGUACGUGAAAUUGUUGAAAGGGAAACGCUUGAAGUCAGUCGCGUCGACCGAGACUCAGCCUUGCCUCGGCUUGGUGUACUUCUCGGCCCGACGGGUCAGCGUCAAUUUUGCCCCUCGGAUAAUGGCAAGGGAAAGGUGGCACCUUUACGGGUGUGUUAUAGUCUCCUGUCGCAUGCGAGGGGUGGGAUUGAGGAACUCAGCGCGCACCUUGGUGUCGGGGCUUCUGCCCACGUCACGCGCUUAGGAUGCUGGCGUAAUGGCUUUAAACGANC